This 538-nucleotide ribosomal RNA is filed under the name uncultured bacterium. RNAcentral describes it as "bacterial SSU rRNA". It matches the Rfam family "Bacterial small subunit ribosomal RNA", at positions 777 to 1320 of the family's 1533-position model. The record is from RNAcentral.
AAUAGAUACCCGGUAGUCCACGCCGUAAACGAUGAAUACUAGGUGUAGGGGUUGUCAUGACCUCUGUGCCGCCGCAAACGCAUUAAGUAUUCCGCCUGGGGAGUACGGUCGCAAGAUUAAAACUCAAAGGAAUUGACGGGGGCCCGCACAAGCAGCGGAGCAUGUGGUUUAAUUCGAAGCAACGCGAAGAACCUUACCUAGACUUGACAUCUCCUGAAUUACUCUUAAUCGAGGAAGUCCCUUCGGGGACAGGAAGACAGGUGGUGCAUGGUUGUCGUCAGCUCGUGUCGUGAGAUGUUGGGUUAAGUCCCGCAACGAGCGCAACCCUUAUUGUUAGUUGCUACCAUUAAGUUGAGCACUCUAGCAAGACUGCCCGGGUUAACCGGGAGGAAGGUGGGGAUGACGUCAAAUCAUCAUGCCCCUUAUGUCUAGGGCUACACACGUGCUACAAUGGCAAGUACAAAAGAUGCAAUACCGCAAGGUGAGCUAAACUUAAAAACUUGUCUCAGUUCGGAUUGUAGGCUGAAACUCGCCUACA